This 455-nucleotide ribosomal RNA is filed under the name uncultured bacterium. RNAcentral describes it as "bacterial SSU rRNA". It matches the Rfam family "Bacterial small subunit ribosomal RNA", at positions 340 to 786 of the family's 1533-position model. The record is from RNAcentral.
UACGGAAGGCAGCAGUGGGGAAUAUUGCACAAUGGGCGCAAGCCUGAUGCAGCCGAUGCCGCGUGUAUGAAGAAGGCCUUCGGGUUGUAAAGUACUUUCAGUCGUGAGGAAGGUAUUAAGGUUAAUAACCUUAGCAAUUGACGUUAGCGACAGAAGAAGCACCGGCUAACUCCGUGCCAGCAGCCGCGGUAAUACGGAGGGUGCGAGCGUUAAUCGGAAUUACUGGGCGUAAAGGGCACGCAGGCGGUUAAUUAAGUUGGAUGUGAAAUCCCCGGGCUUAACCUGGGAAUGGCAUUCAAGACUGGUUAGCUAGAGUCUUGUAGAGGGGGUAGAAUUCCAUGUGUAGCGGUGAAAUGCGUAGAGAUGUGGAGGAAUACCGGUGGCGAAGGCGGCCCCUGGGACAAAGACUGACGCUCAUGUGCGAAAGCGUGGGGAGCAAACAGGGAUUAGAUACC